ACACAUGCAAGUCGAGGGGCAGCGGGAUUGAAGCUUGCUUCAAUUGCCGGCGACCGGCGCACGGGUGAGUAACGCGUAUCCAACCUUCCGCUUACUCGGGGAUAGCCUUUCGAAAGAAAGAUUAAUACCCGAUGGUAUCUUAAGCACGCAUGAGAUUAAGAUUAAAGAUUUAUCGGUAAGCGAUGGGGAUGCGUUCCAUUAGGCAGUUGGCGGGGUAACGGCCCACCAAACCUACGAUGGAUAGGGGUUCUGAGAGGAAGGUCCCCCACAUUGGAACUGAGACACGGUCCAAACUCCUACGGGAGGCAGCAGUGAGGAAUAUUGGUCAAUGGGCGAGGGCCUGAACCAGCCAAGUAGCGUGAAGGAUGACGGCCCUACGGGUUGUAAACUUCUUUUGUGCGGGAAUAAAGGAACCUACGUGUAGGUUUUUGCAUGUACCGUAACGAAUAAGCAUCGGCUAACUCCGUGCCAGCAGCCGCGGUAAUACGGAGGAUGCGAGCGUUAUCCGGAUUUAUUGGGUUUAAAGGGAGCGUAGACGGGUUUUUAAGUCAGCUGUGAAAGUUUGGGGCUCAACCUUAAAAUUGCAGUUGAAACUGGAGACCUUGAGUACGGUUGAGGCAGGCGGAAUUCGUGGUGUAGCGGUGAAAUGCUUAGAUAUCACGAAGAACCCCGAUUGCGAAGGCAGCCUGCUAAGCCGCCACUGACGUUGAGGCUCGAAAGUGCGGGUAUCAAACAGGAUUAGAUACCCUGGUAGUCCGCACGGUAAACGAUGGAUACUCGCUGUU
This 785-nucleotide ribosomal RNA is filed under the name uncultured bacterium. RNAcentral's name for it is "bacterial SSU rRNA". It matches the Rfam family "Bacterial small subunit ribosomal RNA", at positions 51 to 824 of the family's 1533-position model. The record is from RNAcentral.